UUGACAGCCCCGGAGACUGAGAAUUUGUGUUUCUACACAUGAGGAAUGACAAGCACAGAAGCUUCCCUGCAGUUUUGCCAAUGAGACUUGAUGCUGUUUUGGAAGAUCAGGGGCGAAGGAGGAGAGUUCUGACUCUAUGCCCUAUCAAUCAAUAGCCUCU
Molecule: non-coding RNA, 160 nt
Organism: Podarcis lilfordi (Lilford's wall lizard)
Lineage: Eukaryota; Metazoa; Chordata; Lepidosauria; Squamata; Lacertidae
Source: the annotation of a GenBank genome assembly